UACGGAGGGUGCAAGCGUUAUCCGGAUUUAUUGGGUUUAAGGGGUCCGUAGGCGGAUCUGUAAGUCAGUGGUGAAAUCUCACAGCUUAACUGUGAAACUGCCAUUGAUACUGCAGGUCUUGAGUGUUAUUGAAGUAGCUGGAAUAAGUAGUGUAGCGGUGAAAUGCAUAGAUAUUACUUAGAACACCAAUUGCGAAGGCAGGUUACUAAGCAACAACUGACGCUGAUGGACGAAAGCGUGGGGAGCGAACAGG
This 253-nucleotide ribosomal RNA is filed under the name uncultured bacterium. RNAcentral describes it as "partial 16S ribosomal RNA". It matches the Rfam family "Bacterial small subunit ribosomal RNA", at positions 524 to 776 of the family's 1533-position model. The record is from RNAcentral.